RNAcentral lists this ribosomal RNA (253 nucleotides) under uncultured bacterium. Its description in RNAcentral is "partial 16S ribosomal RNA". It matches the Rfam family "Bacterial small subunit ribosomal RNA", at positions 524 to 776 of the family's 1533-position model. The record is from RNAcentral.
UACGGGGGGGGCAAGCGUUGUUCGGAAUUACUGGGCGUAAAGGGCUCGUAGGCGGCCAACUAAGUCGGACGUGAAAUCCCCAGGCUCAACCUGGGAACUGCGUCCGAUACUGGAUGGCUUGAAUCCGGGAGAGGGAUGCAGAAUUCCAGGUGUAGCGGUGAAAUGCGUAGAUAUCUGGAGGAAUACCGGUGGCGAAGGCGGCAUCCUGGACCAUUACUGACGCUGAGGCGCGAAAGCUAGGGGAGCAAACAGG